This 345-nucleotide unclassified non-coding RNA is filed under the name soil metagenome. Its description in RNAcentral is "partial contains 5.8S ribosomal RNA, internal transcribed spacer 2, and large subunit ribosomal RNA". The stretch from base 1 to 119 matches the Rfam family "5.8S ribosomal RNA", at positions 35 to 154 of the family's 154-position model. The record is from RNAcentral.
GAUGAAGAACGUAGCGAAAUGCGAUACGUAAUGUGAAUUGCAAAUUCAGUGAAUCAUCGAGUCUUUGAACGCACAUUGCGCCCCCUGCUAUUCCGGGGGGCAUGCCUGUCCGAGCGUCAUUGCUGCCCUCAAGCACGGCUUGUGUGUUGGGCCCCGUCCUCCGAUCCCGGGGGACGGGCCCGAAAGGCAGCGGCGGCACCGCGUCCGGUCCUCGAGCGUAUGGGGCUUUGUCACCCGCUCUGUAGGCCCGGCCGGCGCUUGCCGAUCAACCCAAAUUUUUAUCCAGGUUGACCUCGGAUCAGGUAGGGAUACCCGCUGAACUUAAGCAUAUCAAUAAGCGGAGGA